GACGAACGCUGGCGGCGUGCUUAACACAUGCAAGUCGAACGGAAAGGCCCUGCUUUUGUGGGGUGCUCGAGUGGCGAACGGGUGAGUAACACGUGAGUAACCUGCCCUUGACUUUGGGAUAACUUCAGGAAACUGGGGCUAAUACCGGAUAGGAGCUCCUGCUGCAUGGUGGGGGUUGGAAAGUUUCGGCGGUUGGGGAUGGACUCGCGGCUUAUCCGCUUGUUGGUGGGGUAGUGGCUUACCAAGGCUUUGACGGGUAGCCGGCCUGAGAGGGUGACCGGCCACAUUGGGACUGAGAUACGGCCCAGACUCCUACGGGAGGCAGCAGUGGGGAAUAUUGCACAAUGGGCGGAAGCCUGAUGAAGCAACGCCGCGUGCGGGAUGACGGCCUUCGGGUUGUAAACCGCUUUCGCCUGUGACGAAGCGUGAGUGACGGUAAUGGGUAAAGAAGCACCGGCUAACUACGUG
Molecule: ribosomal RNA, 468 nt
Filed under: uncultured bacterium
Lineage: Bacteria
Description: partial 16S ribosomal RNA
Rfam family: Bacterial small subunit ribosomal RNA
Source: RNAcentral